This 531-nucleotide ribosomal RNA is filed under the name uncultured bacterium. RNAcentral's name for it is "bacterial SSU rRNA". It matches the Rfam family "Bacterial small subunit ribosomal RNA", at positions 57 to 613 of the family's 1533-position model. The record is from RNAcentral.
GCAAGUCGGACGCUUCACCGGUUUCGGCUGGUGGGGAGUGGCGCACGGGUGAGUAGCGCGUGGGAACCUGCCCUGUUGUGGGGGAUAACCGAGGGAAACUUCGGCUAAUACCGCAUGCGCCCCCGGACUUGUUCCGGGGGGAAAGAUUUAUCGCAGCAGGAGGGGCCCGCGUCGGAUUAGGUAGUUGGCGGGGUAACGGCCCACCAAGCCUUUGAUCCGUAGCUGGUCUGAGAGGAUGAUCAGCCACACUGGGACUGAGACACGGCCCAGACUCCUACGGGAGGCAGCAGUGGGGAAUAUUGGACAAUGGGCGCAAGCCUGAUCCAGCAAUGCCGCGUGAGUGAUGAAGGCCUUCGGGUUGUAAAGCUCUUUCGCCCGCGACGAUUAUGACGGUAGCGGGAGAAGAAGCCCCGGCUAACUUCGUGCCAGCAGCCGCGGUAAUACGAAGGGGGCGAGCGUUGUUCGGAAUCACUGGGCGUAAAGGGCGCGUANGCGGCCCUCCUAGUCGCGUGUGAAAGCCCCGGGCUCAAC